This 492-nucleotide ribosomal RNA is filed under the name uncultured bacterium. Its description in RNAcentral is "partial 16S ribosomal RNA". It matches the Rfam family "Bacterial small subunit ribosomal RNA", at positions 30 to 507 of the family's 1533-position model. The record is from RNAcentral.
AUUGAACGCUGGCGGCAUGCCUUACACAUGCAAGUCGAACGGCAGCACGGUAGCUUGCUGCUGUUGGCGAGUGGCGAACGGGUGAGUAAUACAUCGGCAUCGGUCCUGACGUGGUGGUGAGCGCUGCGAAAGCCGGACUUAUACUGCUACCGCAUAACGCCUGCGGGUGGGAGCACUUGAUGUUCCGAGCUUUCGUGAUUGAAUAAGCCGAUGUCGGAUUAGCUAGUUGGCGGGGUAAAGGCCUACCAAGGCGACGAUCCGUAGCUGGUCUGAGAGGAUGAUCAGCCACACUGGGACUGAGACACGGUCCAGACUCCUACGGGAGGCAGCAGUGGGGAAUAUUGGACAAUGGGCGAAAGCCUGAUCCAGCAAUACCGCGUGUGUGAAGAAGGCCUUCGGGUUGUAAAGCCCUUUUGUCCGGAAAGAAAAGCUGGACCCUAAUACGGUCGGGGGCUGACGGUACCGGAAGAAUAAGCACCGGCUAACUACGUG